GCGUAAUAGCUGCGUACUGACGGAAUAGUACGUUGAAGUAAGAAGGCGUUGAAUCAGUAGGUAAAUCCGCUGAUGAGCUGAGUUACGAUAGUACAGAUUUUAGCUUGCUAAGAUUUGAUAAUGCUACCAAGCGAACUUCCAAGAAAAGUCUCUAAGCUUCAGGUAUAUAGAGCUCGUACCGUAAACCGACACAGGUAGUCGAGGAGAGUAUCCUAAGGCGCUCGAGUGAAUCGUGGCUAAGGAAUUAGGCAAAAUGGCCUCGUAACUUCGGGAGAAGAGGCUCUCAAAUUUAAAAGUGAGCCGCAGUGAAAAGGCCCAGGCGACUGUUUAGCAAAAACACAGGACUCUGCGAAAUCGAAAGAUGAAGUAUAGGGUCUGACACCUGCCCGGUGCUGGAAGGUUAAGGAAGGUGCUUAGCGCAAGCGAAGGUAUUGACUGAAGCCCCAGUAAACGGCGGCCGUAACGAUAACGGUCCUAAGGUAGCGAAAUUCCUUGUCGGGUAAGUUCCGACCUGCACGAAUGGUGUAACGAUCUGGGCACUGUCUCGGCCACGAGCUCGGUGAAAUUGAAGUAUCGGUGAAGAUGCCGGUUACCCGCAAUGGGACGAAAAGACCCCGUGCACCUUUACUAUAGCUUCACAUUGAGCUUGAGUAUAAGAUGUGUAGGAUAGGUGGGAGACGUUGAAGUGGUCACGCUAGUGGCUGUGGAGUCGCCGUUGAAAUACCACCCUUCUUAUGCUUAGGUUCUAAUCCUGUUGAAGACGGGAGACAUUGUGUGGUGGGUAGUUUGACUGGGGUGGUCGCCUCCAAAAGAGUAACGGAGGCUUGCAAAGGUUCCCUCAGCAUGGUCGGUAAUCAUGCGCAGAGCGUAUUAGUAUAAGGGAGCUUGACUGAGAGACCGACGGGUCGAACAGGUAGGAAACUAGGCUAAAGUGAUCCGGUGGUUCCGUAUGGAAGGGCCAUCGCUCAAAGGAUAAAAGGUACGCCGGGGAUAACAGGCUUAUCUCCCCCAAGAGCUCACAUCGACGGGGAGGUUUGGCACCUCGAUGUCGGCUCGUCACAUCCUGGGGCUGGAGAAGGUCCCAAGGAUUGGGCUGUUCGCCCAUUAAAGUGGCACGCGAGCUGGGUUCAGAACGUCGCAAGACAGUUCGGUCUCUAUCUAUUGUGGGCGUAGGAAUAUUGAGAAGAUCUGACACUAGUACGAGAGGACCGUGUUGGACAGACCUCUAGUGUACCAGUUAUGCCGCCAGGUGUACCGCUGGGUAGCUAUGUCUGGAACGGAUAAGCGCUGAAAGCAUCUAAGCGCGAAGCCAACUUCAAGAUGAGUAUUCCAUUGUCUUCGGACAAGAAGGGUUGUUGAAGAUGACGACGUUGAUAGGCUAUAGGUGGAAGUGCUGUGAAGUAUGGAGCCGAGUAGUACUAAUUACCCGAAAGCUUCCUAG
This 1441-nucleotide ribosomal RNA is filed under the name metagenome. Its description in RNAcentral is "bacterial LSU rRNA". It matches the Rfam family "Bacterial large subunit ribosomal RNA", at positions 1480 to 2925 of the family's 2925-position model. The record is from RNAcentral.